This 474-nucleotide long non-coding RNA is filed under the name Carica papaya (papaya). RNAcentral describes it as "long non-coding RNA (CPAP_LNC012214)". Lineage: Eukaryota; Viridiplantae; Streptophyta; Magnoliopsida; Brassicales; Caricaceae. The record is from RNAcentral.
AAUAGAUCAAUAACCCAAGUUUUUGUAGGCAUGGAAAAUAUCUUUGAUGUGCCAACCUGAUAAUCUGGUAUUUCUUGACACGUAUACCCUCUGGAUUUUUAUUUAUUUUUUUCAACAAUUCUGUCUCCAGCCAUAUUGUCUAUAAAUACAUAUGUGCGCCUUUGCUAUUGCAUCAUUCCCAUAAAACACAAAAUAUAAAAUCACGUUACGAUGGACUUGCAAAACCAAGUUGCCAGCAUGAGGAAGUCCCUCUUUGAUCAGGUUAUGUGUAUAUAUAUAUAUAUAUAUAUAUAUAUAUAUAAAUAUAUGCAUCUUCUUUCUAUACCCACCUACAAUAAUUAAGUAAAGGAAAAAUGUAAUUAUAUAAAUAUACCCAUUAUAUAACUAAUGAAAAAUUAUAUAAAUAUAUAUCUUCUUUCUAUGUUUUAUACAAUAUAGAUGACAUAUACCCAUUAUAUGAUUAAUGGAAAAUGG